RNAcentral lists this ribosomal RNA (1300 nucleotides) under Schmidtea mediterranea. RNAcentral's name for it is "SSU rRNA". It matches the Rfam family "Eukaryotic small subunit ribosomal RNA", at positions 1 to 1315 of the family's 1831-position model. The record is from RNAcentral. Lineage: Eukaryota; Metazoa; Platyhelminthes; Tricladida; Dugesiidae.
UCUGGUUGAUCCUGCCAGUAGUCAUAUGCUUAUCUCAAAGAUUAAGCCAUGCAUGUCUAAGUACACGAUUUUAUAUAUCGAAACCGCGGAUGGCUCAUUAUAACAGCUAUGAUUUGAGAGAUAUUAUCAUUUGCCACAAGAUAACUGUGGUAAUUCUAGAGCUAAUAUUUUAUAGAAUGCCGUGACUCACGAAGCGGCGGAUUUAUUAGAUCAAAACUAACCUGUCCUAGACAGUUAUUUGAUGACUCUGGAUAACUUUACUGAUCGUACGACCUCUGUGUUGACGACGAAUCUCUUGAAAUGGCUGACCUAUCAACUUUCGAUGGUAAGAUCAAAGCUUACCAUGGUUGUAACGGGUAACGGGGAAUCAGUGUUCGAUUCCGGAGAGGGAGCCUGAGAAACGGCUACCACAUCCACGGAAGGCAGCAGGCGCGAAAAUUACCCAAUGCCGGUUCGGCGAGGUAGUGACAAUAAAUAACAAUAUGGACCCUAGUGGUUUCAUAAUUGCAAUGAGAUUAUUUUAAAUACUUUUUCAAGUAUCAAUUGGAGGGCAAGUCUGGUGCCAGCAGCCGCGGUAAUUCCAGCUCCAAAAGCGUAUAUUAAAGUUGUUGCAGUUAAAAAGCUCGUAGUUGAAAUUGAGGUAGAUGUAAUUUGAAAUCUUAUGAUUGAUUAUUACUAUACCUUUUCUUCGUGUAUAUUAGUGAGGGACUUAAUUGUUUUUUACUAGUAACCGAAAUGUUUACUUUGAAAAAAUUAGAGUGCUUAAAGCAGGCUUACGCUUGUAUAUUGUUGCAUGGAAUAAUAAAAUAGGACUUUGGUUUUAUUUUGUUGGUUUUCUUAACUAAAGUAAUGAUUAAAAGAGACUGCCGGGGGCAUAUGUAUGCUGGUGCUAGAGGUGAAAUUCUUAGACCAUCAGCAGACAAACUACUGCGAAAGCAUUUGCCAAGAAUGUUUUCAUUAAUCAAGAACGAAAGUCAGAGGAUCGAAGACGAUCAGAUACCGUCCUAGUUCUGACCAUAAACUAUGCCAACUGACAGUUAGUAAAGAUGAAUUAUUUCUUCUUACUAGAAGUCACCGGGAAACCAAAGUCUUUGGGUUCCGGGGGAAGUAUGGUUGCAAAGCUGAAACUUAAAGGAAUUGACGGAAGGGCACCACAAGGAGUGGAGCCUGCGGCUUAAUUUGACUCAACACGGGAAAUCUCACCCGGUCCGGACACUGUGAGGAUUGACAGAUUGAUAGCUCUUUCUUGAUUCGGUGGGUGGUGGUGCAUGGCCGUUCUUAGUUGGUGGAGCGAUUUGUC